UACGGAAGGCAGCGGUGGGGAAUAUUGCACAAUGGGCGAAAGCCUGAUGCAGCUAUGCCGCGUGUAUGAAGAAGGCCUUAGGGUUGUAAAGUACUUUCAUCGGGGAGGAAAAACAAAACUAAUAAUUUUAUUUCUUGACGUUACCCGAAAAAGAAGCACCGGCUAACUCCGUGCCAGCAGCCGCGGUAAUACGGAGGGUGCUAGCGUUAAUCAGAAUUACUGGGCGUAAAGAGCACGUAGGUGGUUUUUUUAAGUCGGAUGUGAAAUCCCUGGGCUUAACCUAGGAACUGCAUUUUGAAACUGAAAUACUAGAGUAUCGUAGAGGGAGGUAGAAUUCUAGGUGUAGCGGUGAAAUGCGUAGAUAUCUGGAGGAAUACCUGUGGCGAAAGCGGCCUCCUAAACGAAUACUGACACUGAGGGUGCGAAAGCGUGGGGAGCAAACAGGGAUUAGAUACC
Molecule: ribosomal RNA, 456 nt
Filed under: uncultured bacterium
Lineage: Bacteria
Description: bacterial SSU rRNA
Rfam family: Bacterial small subunit ribosomal RNA
Source: RNAcentral